Molecule: long non-coding RNA, 890 nt
Organism: Pleuronectes platessa (European plaice)
Lineage: Eukaryota; Metazoa; Chordata; Actinopteri; Pleuronectiformes; Pleuronectidae
Exons: 4
Source: RefSeq, a predicted model, not a curated record
ACAUGAAUGGUUGUCUAUUAACUUGUUCAAAAACUAUCUGGAGUUGUCAAGGCUCAGAAGGACGCAGGCGAAAAAGUACAGUGUGUUGAUGCUUUUUGGGAGAAGCGACGGGAGAAGUUUUGUGGACACGACAUAGCAGGAGCCAACCGGGAGAAGACUCACGCUCACAGACACACACCCGCAGAGAGACUCCACUGAGAGGGAGAGUGUGGGAGACGCGGCUCGGUGCUUGUUGUUUUUUUCCAGAGAAAAAGUUCCAGAGAGAAAUCGACAGUUCCUGCGGAUGGGCCCAUCAAGACAAACUUUGUUGCCUGUUUCCUAAAAAGGGGGAAGAUUUUUACCACCAAAAUAACCAUCGUCCCCAGUGAUGCAACAGAAGAGAAGAUGGAAUCAAGAGACCAGGACGUUGGAUGAACCGGAUGGCAAGUGGGGACUGGUGAUCGUGACGGUGGAACGUCCAACCAGGAGAAACACGAGAGCUGGAGAAGAUGCUGAUGCUGUGAUUUCACACACAAACACCCACACACACACACACACACACACACACACACAGGCUGUAGUGUGAACCAGUUCCAGGUGAGUCAAACUGAAUCAAAGUGAACUGAUCUGAACCUGAAUGGUUGCAGUGGGACGGGACCCAGGACACUUGACUCUACCUGCUGUUCUCGGCUCUUUCUGUUUUAUUCUCACCGCCGGGCCUCAGGACCACUGGUUCCUCUCAUGUGUGUGUGGGUCUCGUCCAGCUGACACCGGGUCGUCGGGGGAUUGAUCCCCGGCUCGUCCAGGCCACUUGCCAAACUGACCUGGGGCAAGAUAGUGAACCUCAAACAGACUGAGGGUUGUGUGUUAAUGUGUGUGAUAGAAAACACACACUGCAUCUAGUUGUAUUA